AUUAAAGCACCGAUUCCCGUACGAUCGCCGAAGUUAAGCAAAGUUGAACCGGGUCAGUAUCUAAAUUGAUGACCGCUUGGGAAUACAAGGUGCUGUAAG
Molecule: non-coding RNA, 99 nt
Organism: Acanthosepion pharaonis
Lineage: Eukaryota; Metazoa; Mollusca; Cephalopoda; Sepiida; Sepiidae
Source: the annotation of a GenBank genome assembly